Long non-coding RNA from Hevea brasiliensis (rubber tree), 4185 nucleotides. RefSeq lists it as uncharacterized. NCBI's taxonomy places the organism in Eukaryota, Viridiplantae, Streptophyta, Magnoliopsida, Malpighiales, Euphorbiaceae. The record is from RefSeq and is a predicted model, not a curated record. The transcript has 4 exons.
UCUUCUGGGGAGCUCUGAAUGAAAUAAAGAAAGCAAAGAUUGGUUGGAGAGGAGUGCAGUGGGUAUCUUACGUGACCUAGAGACGGUUCUCUCUAUUCAGCCACUUUUUCAUAUUGAAAGGGUGUUACUGUAAGACCUUUAGGGGGAUCUACAAUGCUAUUAACUUUUCAUUCAAAUGGGUUAGAAAGAAAUGAGGCGUAACAGCUCACAUGCCUCCAACCCUCCACAAAUUUCAACCUCUUUCUUUAACAAUGGCAGACACCCCCCUCCUCAUAUCACUGUUAGAAUUCUCCUUCUAUCUCAGACAUUUACCUUGAGAACCUUCCACCCAGCUUAUCUGCUAAUUCCCUUUGGAAUGCUAUCUCCAUGUUGAAAAACAUCCUAGGCGUCUAUAUCCCAUAGUUGUAGGAGGUAUGCUUUUGUCAGGUUCCCCUCUUGGGCUCAGAUUCACAGGCUCCUCAACACUAUCAACAAUCUCUGGUUUGAAUCAUUCAAGUUAUACGCCUUCCCUUCCCUCCAUAGUAGUAAACAACCUGAUAGAUUUAAAUCGCCAUAACCAAACCCUCGAAUGCAUAAGCCUCAUGCCCACUCUAACCACCAAAUGAAUAAGCCUCAAGCUCUGUUCAUUUUACCUCGCAACAGACUAUUCCCAAACAGCAUCAAGUCUCCGGUUCUUGCAAAUGCUUCCUCAAAACCAAUAUUGGGAAGUCCUCAAAACAACAAUAAAUUCACCACAAGGAAUUUCGACAUCUGCCCAGGUGAGUCAAGAUCAUCAGAGCAUUGUUUUGUUGGGGGAAAAAUAUGUUAUUCCAGAUUUUGUGGCUGAGCAAAAUGCAAAAUGGCUAUCACAAUUUGCUGUCGCCACCUUGCUAGAUAUUCACUUUUUUGCCAAUCUUCAGGACUACCUUUGGGUAGAAUGUGUGCUUUACAUUCAACUCAUCCCAAUGGGUGGAGAAAGUGUCCACCUUACAUUCGAAUCAAAAGAGCUAAUGAUGGGAUUUGUUUCAGAGUACCACUCGUUGGUCAAUCAGUGGAUAUACGAUCUCAAACCGUGGGAAGCUGCUUCACACCUUCAAUCCAUUUAAUCUAGUUGAGGCUCUAGGGAGUUCCUCUUAAUGCUUGGUCUAACCACUUCUUCCAAUGGGUUGCAGGACCAUUUGGAAAAUUUUGUGGAGUUGAUGGACCAACAAGUUCAAAAGCCAGAUUAGAUUAAGCGAGAGUCCUCGUCACAACAACAAAUCAGGGACUCACUUACAAAAACUCGGCAGUGAAUAUUGAAAACACUCAAUUUCAUAUCCAUGUAUCCGAGAAGCAAUGCUCAGACUUAUUUAAACCUCCUGCACGUAGCAAUGGAGCAUCUAGCUCUUCCUCGGACGCAAGUAAAGAAAACAACGAUGACGUGGAACUCUCUAUCACAAAGGAUGGCUUAGAGGCUGCCACGGAAGAUAACAUCCACUCUAUUAGCGAAUCUUCUCAGAAGGAUUUGGAGGUUCCAAAACAACAAUCUGACAUGGUGAACUCAGCAGAAUACUGGGCUCUCAUUCACAGAGGGACUUCAUUCCCGUUAGCGCAAACAAACAACCCUCUUCGCUCAUUUCCCAUGACCUUGUUGAAUCUCUAAGUGCGCCGGCUCCCUGCUGUCUGUUGCAGUGUGCCGAUGCAUCUUUUGAGGACCCUCUAGCUGAGUCUAUUGCCACGUGAGGCUGGGGCGACGUCAUUUCUCCUCAUGCACCAUGUCAUUCGGAGUUUCCAGAACUUUUUCCCUCUGCGAAGUCCUCGUCCAUUAUUUCAGCUAACCUUUGGCUGUCGAACUAUCGGACUGAAGCCCAAAACGAUUUAAUCCCAAUUAAGCCCGUGUGUCAGGCCCAUCCCGUUAACUUGGCUUCUUUCUCACCUAUCCCGCAGCUUUUAGCUCAGGAGUCUCCCUCUCUCUCUUGGACACUCUCUUCCUUAAUCUCUCAUUCCUUAGCUCAUGGUUCUUCAAACCUCUAGAAUAAGGUUUUCAAAACUUCAAGAAUCUUGAAACGCAGAAGCCGCAGUAAGAACAUAAAAGACCUCAUCGGAGUGUCACCAAAAUUGUUUAGAGGAGGUAAAUCUUUCUCUCCCUUACAUCAGUGUUUUGGUGCUAGUAUCUCGCUUUUGUCUCUGCCCAUCUUUUGCACCUAGUAUUCCUUUGAGGUUUUGGAUCGUGUCUUUAGAAAUUCCGGCUGUUGAUUUGAUCCUGCUCUGAUGGUGUGCUGCCUUGUUUGUCUUGUUGGAAUCCUUUGUUCAUUUUUGUAUUGAUUUAUCUGGUUUGUUUUUGUGUUGUUCAGUCCCUUUCUUUUGGCCUUUGUGUUUGUUCGUCUUUUCCAAGUCUUCCUGGUCUUUUAAUAAAUUUUUCUUUGCUUGUCAAAAAAACAUUUCAUUCUAAUGAAGAAAUGAAAAGGUUUAUUGAAGACUCAAAUGGCUGGUUGUCACUGUAGUUCUCAUCUGUGGUUCUGUGGCAAGAGAAAUUUACUCCUUCCAAUCGGUAUGCUUGGGUAAGAUGUCACGGCAUCCCAUUGUUGGUUGGUGUCUUGACUUUUUGAUUUGGCUAAGUUCUUUUGUUGGCAAAUUCAUAUAUAUCGAUGAUUGUACAUCCAAGAAAACUCGGCUUGAUUCUGGCUCAAUUCUAAUGUCUACUUCUUCACUCAAGUUUAUUUACAAAAAGGUUGUUAUAGUUGUGGGAGAGACUAAAUUCUAUACAACUUUGAUUGAAGAUUGCUGUGAAGCAAUGCUUACUCCUAUGACAUGCAGGCCACUGGCAACUUCUUCAAAGGAUUUAUCUUCCAGAUCUUCCUUUGGUCGGGAUGCAGAACUUGUUGCUUCAAGUCCAUAAUUGGGUACAUUUCACAAGGGGUUAGGAAGCCAAGAUGAAAAUGGCGCUACACAAGUGGAUUGAUUAAUGUUUGAGAAAGGGAAUAAUAGUUCUGACAGCGACAUCUAUUCCUCCAACCAAAAAACACCUAGAGUUGGUGGGGAUACACUGCAUGUUCAUGGGAUAGAGUGUGGACAACUAGAUGGAAUUGUGCUUAGGGAUGAUGCUAUGCUUCUUUAUGCAGUUCAUAGAGUGAGGCUGUUGCCCAUUGCAGAGAAGGGCCUUGCAGUGAAGAGAGGCUUCAGCCUAAGGUGGAGUGAGGACAUAGACUUUAAGAGAAAUCGAUUUUUGUCCAUUGUUGAGAAUACUCUUGCCUAUAUAGUUGAAGUUUACACGCUUUUACAAUGCACAACAAAUUGGUAUUAGAGCAUGGGAUGAUCUUGAUGAGUUCAGUUGAAGGUGGAGCUGUUAUGAUAUAUAGAAGUCGCACAUGGUGAUGCAAGCUUAAGGUGAUGGAAAGUUGAAAUUAAGGUGGAGCACUUGAAGCAACAGCAAAAAGAUGAUGCAAAAAUUUUUUAAAGAAAGAAAUAAGUUACACCCAAGAUGAAGAUUGAAGAAUGGAGAUUUGAAGGGUUCAAGCUCAAGCAUGGAGAUUUGAUGACACCCAAGAAUUUUAGUUUACACGCUUCUGCAGUGCAUAACAAAUUUAUAUCAGAGUAUGGGAUGAUCUUGGUGAGUUCAGUUGAAAGUGUAGCUGUUAUGAUAUGUAGAAGUCGCACAUGGUGAUGCAAGCUCAAGGCGAUGGAAAGUUGAAAUUAAAGUAGAGCUCUUGAUGCAAAAAAUUUUUAAAGAAAGAAGUAAGUUACACCCAAGAUGAAGAUUGAAGAAUAGAGAUUUGAAGGGUUUAAGCUCAAGCAUGGAGAUUUGAUUAUUUAAUGACACCUAAGAAUUUUAGGUAUGCAAUGGUUAAUGGAUUUUGAGUCAAGGUGGAGAUUGUUAAAAUUAUGAUUUAAAAUCCUAAUAGGAUAUGAAUAGACCUUUUCUUAAUCUGAAUGAAAAAAAUAUUCUUCAAUAGGAUAUAGCAAUAUUUCAUAUUUAGAGUAGAAUUCUUAUUUUAGUGUUAUUCUUAAAUUGAGUGAGACUUUUAAUCAGAUUAGGAUUGAGGGAAUUAAUACUAUAAAUAGGAGAAUGGUGAAAAAAGUUAUUUAACUUUCAGUUCAUGGAGUGAGACUGUUGAUGAUGGGCACUUGCCCAUUGCAGUUGAGAGAGGCUUCGGCCUAAGGUGGAGUAAGGACAUAGAAUUCAAGAGGAAGAGAUUUUUGUCCAUUGAUAAGAGAGCUCUGUGUUAA